AUCGGGUUCAAUUGAAAACCCUAGAAGCAAAAUGCAGCGAACUUUCUUCUCCCUAUCGUGCUCUCCGUUUUUCUCGAUAUCGCCAUUGAAGGGGCCUUCGAAGCUCUCAUAUCUCUCUUGGCCUGCUAUGAAUAAACAACAACAACACCACCAUACUGUUCUCUCUCGAUCGCUCUUUUGCGAAUAACCACAACAAACAGCACACAGUCAUGAAUUCAUUGCGAAAUCGACACACAAAUCGAAUCCCAACAUGACCCUAAGCCCCCAAUCUCAAUAUUUGCCACGGAUACAUAUUACAGCAAUUCAAACAAUGAAAGAAAAUAUGAAAACAGGCAUAAACAACAAUGGAAUUGAAGAAAUCAAAGGGCUACCACGAAAAAAAUUUGAUUUGAAUCCAGGUAUGAUUCUGUGUUCUCUUUGAUUCUGCUUCUUCUCCUUCUGUUCGUUCUGUUCGUUCUGUUGUUGCUCUGUGUCGGUUGUGUGGUGGGUGAGGCUCGAUUCUGAUGGAGUGUUGUUGUGAGGUUGUUUGGAGAGUGAAGUGUUAUGAGAGGUUAAACGUGAAGGCUCGUUGGUGUAUGAAAGUUUCUGCAGGGUCUUUGAGGUGGUGUGAGUAUGAUUUGAAGAAAACAAAAGUGUGAAAAAUUCAAAGGUGAUGAAGAUGUAUGGUCGUAAUGGUUUGGUGAUGGUAUGAAGAUGUGAAGGGAUUUUCUCAGGGAUUUGUUCUACCAUUUCUAUGCAAUGUUUGGCAUGCUGUGUGCAGCAAGGGUGCAUAGUUUUUGGAGAGUAGUGUUGGUUCAGGGCAAGCUUGACAAAUGAUGGUACAAAUAUGCAGAGUGCUGUUGGUGAAGGCAGAGGCGUGGGAUAGAGCAAGAAGUGAAGACAAAAUAUGUUAUUAUUUUUUGUUUUCUUUUAGUGUAAAAAAAAAAUGUAAAUGGACCUUAUAGAAGAGAAUAAAUUGGGCCAAAACACACAAAGCCUUUUUGCA
Vicia villosa (hairy vetch) is the source of this 985-nucleotide long non-coding RNA. RefSeq lists it as uncharacterized. The transcript has 2 exons. The record is from RefSeq and is a predicted model, not a curated record. NCBI's taxonomy places the organism in Eukaryota, Viridiplantae, Streptophyta, Magnoliopsida, Fabales, Fabaceae.